AUGUGCCUGAAUUUUUGUGUGGUGUCAGCCACUUUUUGCAAAUCGCAUCGUGAGGCAAAGACGGUGACAAUGUGGAGCGCCGACCACGGUGAGGCCAAGCUCUACGAGCGUAAGCAGGUGAUAGCCGGCAAGAGUGAGUAUAUGAAACUUAAGGGGGGAGGGGUGCAGGAGGGUCGCCGAAGUUUUUCAUCGGGGCUUGGCUUAGAGGGAUGGUCGAGGUGGCGACCAGCACAGUGGUGGGAGAAGGUCCAGCGGAGGGCGGGCGAUGAUAGCCGCCGGCCAUGGGGGACGAAGGCAGGCGGCCAGGGCUGGGUAGGCCAUGGAGAAGGGGGGGGCCGCCGCGGGGAGGAGGAAGAAGAAGAUGAAUAG
RNAcentral lists this ribosomal RNA (369 nucleotides) under Triticum aestivum (bread wheat). RNAcentral's name for it is "partial small subunit ribosomal RNA". Lineage: Eukaryota; Viridiplantae; Streptophyta; Magnoliopsida; Poales; Poaceae. The record is from RNAcentral.